CUGUCAACACAGUGAUGGCAAAACAAACACAGGGCCACUGGACAGACAGUAGAGUCAACACAGACUGAACGUGCCCUCAGUGACUGAAUAUAAGGAACUCUGGAUGCUGUGACUGUCAAGGCCGGCCAGUUAUAGACAACAGAAUGAGGGCUGCUUUGAGUUUUCACCUCCAUGGGGUCCUUCAACACCCUCACUCAUUCCAAAGUCCGAACAAGAAGAAAGAGACAGGAGAAAUGAUAACGACAGA
Long non-coding RNA from Notolabrus celidotus (New Zealand spotty), 247 nucleotides. RefSeq lists it as uncharacterized. The transcript is spliced from 3 exons. Lineage: Eukaryota; Metazoa; Chordata; Actinopteri; Labriformes; Labridae. The record is from RefSeq and is a predicted model, not a curated record.